RNAcentral lists this unclassified non-coding RNA (752 nucleotides) under Hevea brasiliensis (rubber tree). The record is from RNAcentral. Lineage: Eukaryota; Viridiplantae; Streptophyta; Magnoliopsida; Malpighiales; Euphorbiaceae.
AAAAAAAAAAAAUUAAAGAAUUAAAAAUAUAUAAAAUAAUAUUUAAUUAAGGCCAUUCUUGUCACGAACUCAAAUCACUGAUUUGAUUCAGAACAAGCCUGUGGGGGGAAAGUGGAAAUUCUACCAGCUAGGAAAAUUCUAUGCAUGGUCCACCAAAUUUUGGUGUUUUUAGGUAGUGCCAGAAAACGUUGAUUCGCCAUGUUACAUAAGUAAUAUCUCGUGACACAAGAGCCAAACUCUGUCUGUUUUGAGACAAAGAAUCUCAUAAACUUUUGCUAAACAAUACAAAAUUACAAGUUUGGCUUCAAUAAAUUAAAAGAAAGACAUCAAUGCACGUUUCCCCAGCAAUGGGACAAGUGAAAAAAAAACAUUAUUAUUAUUGUCUGAUUGUGCAAUACAUGGCAAUUGAUUUUCAGGAAUAAAAUCUAUUUAUAAUUCUAAGUUCAAUCAAUCUCUUCCACAUUUAUUUGUGCAUUAUUCAUGACCUAUACAAAAUUCGAGAUUAGCAUAAAAAAUUGCUAGUCGAUGUAAUUUAUGUAUUUAAACAUUGAUUCACGUGAAUUUCACGUAUAUUUUGAGACUUACGUGAAUCAAUAAUUUAUAUAUAUCGAUCGAAUUAUUCGUAAUUGACCUAAUAUUUUUCAAUUUAAAUUAGAUUUGAGUAUUCCAUUAUAUAUUUUUCUACUUGUGUAUAUGAAAAAUAAUAAUAAAAAGGACAACAAUAAUACCAUGAGAGGCCCAUGAAGAGAAAG